GAGGAAAGCUGGCGGCGUGCCUAAUACAUGCAAGUCGAGCGAACGGACGAGAAGCUUGCUUUUCUGAUGUUAGCGGCGGACGGGUGAGUAACACGUGGAUAACCUACCUAUAAGACUGGGAUAACUUCGGGAAACCGGAGCUAAUACCGGAUAAUAUUUUGAACCGCAUGGUUCAUAAGUGAAAGACGGUCUUGCUGUCACUUAUAGAUGGAUCCGCGCUGCAUUAGCUAGUUGGUAAGGUAACGGCUUACCAAGGCAACGAUGCAUAGCCGACCUGAGAGGGUGAUCGGCCACACUGGAACUGAGACACGGUCCAGACUCCUACGGGAGGCAGCAGUAGGGAAUCUUCCGCAAUGGGCGAAAGCCUGACGGAGCAACGCCGCGUGAGCGAUGAAGGUCUUCGGAUCGUAAAACUCUGUUAUUAGGGAAGAACAUAUGUGUAAGUAACUGUGCACAUCUUGACGGUACCUAAUCAGAAAGCCACGGCUAACUACGUG
This 497-nucleotide ribosomal RNA is filed under the name uncultured bacterium. RNAcentral describes it as "partial 16S ribosomal RNA". It matches the Rfam family "Bacterial small subunit ribosomal RNA", at positions 28 to 507 of the family's 1533-position model. The record is from RNAcentral.